This 499-nucleotide ribosomal RNA is filed under the name uncultured bacterium. RNAcentral describes it as "partial 16S ribosomal RNA". It matches the Rfam family "Bacterial small subunit ribosomal RNA", at positions 28 to 507 of the family's 1533-position model. The record is from RNAcentral.
GACGAACGCUGGCGGCGUGCCUAAUACAUGCAAGUCGAGCGAAGUUUUUCUGGUGCUUGCCCUAGAAAAACUUAGCGGCGAACGGGUGAGUAACACGUAAAGAACCUGCCUCAUAGACUGGGACAACUAUUGGAAACGAUAGCUAAUACCGGAUAACAGUAUUUCUCGCAUGAGAGAUAUUUAAAAGUUGGUUAUGCUAACACUAUGAGAUGGCUUUGCGGUGCAUUAGCUAGUUGGUGGGGUAAAGGCCCACCAAGGCGACGAUGCAUAGCCGACCUGAGAGGGUGAUCGGCCACACUGGGACUGAGACACGGCCCAGACUCCUACGGGAGGCAGCAGUAGGGAAUCUUCCGCAAUGGGCGAGAGCCUGACGGAGCAACGCCGCGUGAGUGAAGAAGGAUUUCGGUUCGUAAAGCUCUGUUGUUAGGGAAGAAUGGAUAUGUAGUAACUAUACAUGUAAGAGACGGUACCUAAACAGAAAGCCACGGCUAACUACGUG